UGGGGAAUUUUGCGCAAUGGGGAAAGCCCUGACGCAGCAACGCCGCGUGGAGGAUGAAGUCCUUCGGGACGUAAACUCCUUUCGAUCGGGACGAUAAUGACGGUACCGGAAGAAGAAGCCCCGGCUAACUUCGUGCCAGCAGCCGCGGUAAUACGAGGGGGGCGAGCGUUGUUCGGAAUUAUUGGGCGUAAAGGGUGCGUAGGCGGUUUGGUAAGUCUUGUGUGAAAUCUCCGGGCUCAACUCGGAGCCUGCACGAGAAACUGCCGGGCUUGAGUGUGGGAGAGGUGAGUGGAAUUCCUGGUGUAGCGGUGAAAUGCGUAGAUAUCAGGAGGAACACCUGUGGCGAAAGCGGCUCACUGGACCAUAACUGACGCUGAUGCACGAAAGCUAGGGGAGCAAACAGGAUUAGAUACCC
RNAcentral lists this ribosomal RNA (415 nucleotides) under uncultured bacterium. RNAcentral's name for it is "bacterial SSU rRNA". It matches the Rfam family "Bacterial small subunit ribosomal RNA", at positions 355 to 787 of the family's 1533-position model. The record is from RNAcentral.